This is a non-coding RNA of Steccherinum ochraceum, 87 nucleotides long. Lineage: Eukaryota; Fungi; Basidiomycota; Agaricomycetes; Polyporales; Steccherinaceae. The record is from the annotation of a GenBank genome assembly.
GGGCGCAUGGUGUAGUUGGUUAUCACAUCCGCUUAGCAUUUCACAAAUGUCUGCGGGGGGUGCUGGGUUCAAUUCCCAGUGCGUCCA